This 440-nucleotide unclassified non-coding RNA is filed under the name Hevea brasiliensis (rubber tree). Lineage: Eukaryota; Viridiplantae; Streptophyta; Magnoliopsida; Malpighiales; Euphorbiaceae. The record is from RNAcentral.
CACCAUCAUUAUUAAGGAGAUGAAUUUCAAUAUCGUGAACUACAGACUUGAGAAAUCAAUUAAUUUCAUACAAUUAUAAGCAAUCAAAAACCCUACCAAAUUCAAGAUCCAAAUAUAAUUCCGCUACCCCUCUACCGAAUUGCCCAAGUACAGAACAAUUUCACAUACUAAAGAAAACCCAAAACUGAGAACUCCAUUGAUUUACUUUUGCAAAUUCAAAACGACAAGAAGCAAUGCACUAGACUCGGUCAUUUAAACUACAUUAAGUCGCAAUACUUAAAACUCAAUCAACAGCCUUCCUUCAAUAUCUUAAUACAUGAUCCAAAAGAACCUAUCAUAAGCAAACAUUAAAAACGGCAAUCCAGCAUAAUUAAAUAAAUCCAAAAGAAAUUCCAUUUCUUUAAGAGAGAUUUGAUACCUAUCCGACAUAGUAGCAAUAG